CCGGCAACGCUGGCGGCGUGCCUGGUACAUGCUACCUCGAGGCGGAUCGAAUGGGAGCUUGCUCCCUGAGAUCAGCGGCGGACGGGUGAGUAACACGUGGGUAACCUGCCUGUAAGACUGGGAUAACUCCGGGAAACCGGGGCUAAUACCGGAUAACACCUACCCCCGCAUGGGGGAAGGUUGAAAGGUGGCUUCGGCUAUCACUUACAGAUGGACCCGCGGCGCAUUAGCUAGUUGGUGAGGUAAUGGCUCACCAAGGCGACGAUGCGUAGCCGACCUGAGAGGGUGAUCGGCCACACUGGGACUGAGACACAGCCCAAACUCCUACGGGAGGCAGCAGUAGGGAAUCUUCCGCAAUGGACGAAAGUCUGACGGAGCAACGCCGCGUGAGUGAAGAAGGUUUUCGGAUCGAGAAACUCUGUUGUUAGGGAAGAACAAGUGCCGUUCGAAUAGGGCGGCGCCUUGACGGUACCUAACCAGAAAGCCACGGCUAACUACGUGCCAGCAGCCGCGGUAAUACGUAGGUGGCAAGCGUUGUCCGGAAUUAUUGGGCGUAAAGCGCGCGCAGGUGGUUUCUUAAGUCUGAUGUGAAAGCCCACGGCUCACCGUGAGGGUCAUUGGAAACUGGGGAACUUGAGUGCAGAAGAGGAAAGUGAAUUCCAAGUGUAGCGGUGAAAUGCGUAGAUAUUUGGAGGAACACCAGUGCGAAGGCGACUUUCUGGUCUGUAACUGACACUGAGGCGCGAAAGCGUGGGGGAGCAACAGAUAAGAUACCCUGUAGUCCACGCCGUAACGAUGAGUGCUAAGUGUAGAGGGUUUCCGCCCUUUAGUGCUGCAGCUAACGCAUUAGCACUCCGCCUGGGGAGUACGGUCG
This 874-nucleotide ribosomal RNA is filed under the name Bacillus sp. HPC950. Its description in RNAcentral is "bacterial SSU rRNA". It matches the Rfam family "Bacterial small subunit ribosomal RNA", at positions 25 to 888 of the family's 1533-position model. The record is from RNAcentral. Lineage: Bacteria; Bacillati; Bacillota; Bacilli; Caryophanales; Bacillaceae.